RNAcentral lists this ribosomal RNA (520 nucleotides) under uncultured bacterium. Its description in RNAcentral is "bacterial SSU rRNA". It matches the Rfam family "Bacterial small subunit ribosomal RNA", at positions 777 to 1297 of the family's 1533-position model. The record is from RNAcentral.
AAUAGAUACCCUGGUAGUCCACGCCGUAAACGAUGAGUGCUGAGUGUUAGAGGGUUUCCGCCCUUUAGUGCUGAAGUUAACGCAUUAAGCACUCCGCCUGGGGAGUACGGCCGCAAGGCUGAAACUCAAAGGAAUUGACGGGGGCCCGCACAAGCGGUGGAGCAUGUGGUUUAAUUCGAAGCAACGCGAAGAACCUUACCAGGUCUUGACAUCCUCUGAUAACCCUAGAGAUAGGGCUUCUCCCUCGGGAGCAGAGUGACAGGUGGUGCAUGGUUGUCGUCAGCUCGUGUCGUGAGAUGUUGGGUUAAGUCCCGCAACGAGCGCAACCCUUGAUCUUAGUUGCCAUCAUUAAGUUGGGCACUCUAAGGUGACUGCCGGUGACAAACCGGAGGAAGGUGGGGAUGACGUCAAAUCAUCAUGCCCCUUAUGACCUGGGCUACACACGUGCUACAAUGGACGGUACAAAGAGCCGCAAGACCGCGAGGUGGAGCUAAUCUCAUAAAACCGUUCUCAGUUCGGA